Molecule: ribosomal RNA, 497 nt
Filed under: Eimeria zuernii
Lineage: Eukaryota; Apicomplexa; Conoidasida; Eucoccidiorida; Eimeriidae
Description: SSU rRNA
Rfam family: Eukaryotic small subunit ribosomal RNA
Source: RNAcentral
AAUUCCAGCUCCAAUAGUGUAUAUUAGAGUUGUUGCAGUUAAAAAGCUCGUAGUUGGAUUUCUGCUGUGGUCAUCCGGUACCGCCCGUAUGGGUGCGCACCUGGUUUGGCUCCGGCUUUUUUCCUGUAGCCGUCCGCGCUUAAUUGCGUGUACUGUGUUACGGAACUUUUACUUUGAGAAAAAUAGAGUGUUUCAAGCAGGCUUGUCGCCCUGAAUACUUCAGCAUGGAAUAAUAGGAUAGGACCUUGGUUCUAUUUUGUUGGUUUCUAGGACCAAGGUAAUGAUUAAUAGGGACAGUUGGGGGCAUUCGUAUUUAACUGUCAGAGGUGAAAUUCUUAGAUUUGUUAAAGACGAACUACUGCGAAAGCAUUUGCCAAGGAUGUUUUCAUUAAUCAAGAACGACAGUAGGGGGUUUGAAGACGAUUAGAUACCGUCGUAAUCUCUACCAUAAACUAUGCCGACUAGAGAUAGGGAAACGCCUACCUUGGCUUCUCCUG